RNAcentral lists this ribosomal RNA (237 nucleotides) under uncultured bacterium. RNAcentral's name for it is "partial 16S ribosomal RNA". It matches the Rfam family "Bacterial small subunit ribosomal RNA", at positions 99 to 334 of the family's 1533-position model. The record is from RNAcentral.
CGAACGGGUGAGUAACGCGUGAGGAACCUGCCUCAAAGAGGGGGACAACAGUUGGAAACGACUGCUAAUACCGCAUAAGCCCACGGGUCGGCAUCGACCUGAGGGAAAAGGAGCAAUCCGCUUUGAGAUGGCCUCGCGUCCGAUUAGCUAGUUGGUGAGGUAACGGCCCACCAAGGCGACGAUCGGUAGCCAGACUGAGAGGUUGAACGGCCACAUUGGGACUGAGACACGGCCCAG